This 1267-nucleotide long non-coding RNA is filed under the name Mustela putorius furo (domestic ferret). RNAcentral describes it as "lncRNA (ENSMPUG00000028031.1)". The record is from RNAcentral. Lineage: Eukaryota; Metazoa; Chordata; Mammalia; Carnivora; Mustelidae.
CCCUGGUGAAGUACAGAUGUCGCAACCACAGAGGCGCAGAAACCUCCAGGUUCCUAGAGCGGACCGGAAAUGACGCCCGCGGCGGGAAGCCGAGCGUCGGGUGGGGGACCCGAGCGGUCCCUGUGCUCGCCGGCUCCCUGCGGCUGUGGGCUCCCGCGGAGUGCGAACCCGGCUCCCCAAAGCCGGAGGCGCCGCAGGACCGCCAAGGGCUUUGAGGCGGCCCGAGAAGGGCCAGGCUUCGGAGCCUGCCACCUGACGAAGGCGGGACGUGGGGGGACGCGUCCAGAAGCGUAGGUCUGCGACGAGAGCUGCCCCCGCGGCACUAAGGUUGGCUCCGGAGGCGCCCGGCUGCGGGGGAAGCAGUAGCCGCUUCUCCUCGGCCUUCAGGAGGGAACGGAGGGGAUGGCUGUGCGGAGACAGCCCUCGGGCCCGGCUGCAGAAGGAGCUGGCCUGGCCGCUCCCCAUCAGGCGAGGUCCACCCGGAGCAGCCUGGCCUUGCGGAUGGCAGGACGUCCCUGUCGGUGCGUGUGGUUGGGGGGCGGGGGGGCACCGAGCGGUUCAGGAGCUGGCGCGGCGGGUGCAGGAGGAUAACAGCACCUGCUCAGGUAGCCGCGUCUUCUGCAGAACCACCCUCUGGAGGGCAGAAGCGACGUGACUGUGUCGAGUGCACUGAUGAUUCUGCGCAUCCUAAGUGUGAGAUGUGUAUUGUCGCAGGGCGAGCCCGUGGUCAGAUGAUAGCAGUCCAUCGACCUCAACAGCCUGCCUCUACCCAGAAGUCAUUAGAGAUGAAAGUUCUUGAGCAGCGUUGAUGUGCAGAGAGUGCUCCGCCGGAUCCCCGAGUCCGUCUGGCCCUUGCUUCUGCGCGGGCGCUGUUCUGGGACACUGCCUCGUUCCUGAUCGUAAAGGAAAAGCUCUCAUUUCUUCACCUUGGAGAAGGAUGUUAGCUCUGGGCUCAUAUUCCAUCUCAAAUUAUGUUCAGUUCAUGUGGUGUAUCCCACUAAUCCAGUCAUCUCUGAGGUGUGUUGAUGAUGAUGAAUAUCCCGGGAAACCUGGCAAGACUGUGUCCCAGAUCUACCAGUUAACGUGCUUUAAGUGGAAGAACCUGAACAGAGACAUGAUCCUCACCUGUCAUGUCCUGGCCACCAUCCUGGUGUACUCUUCCCUGGGUGGAAAGAGAACUGCCUGGAGAGGCCUGCGUCCUCAUCCGUGCACCCUUCAAAGACCACAGGAGUCAGACGUGCUGGGAGCCCAAACACAAGCCCAGUGA